RNAcentral lists this ribosomal RNA (491 nucleotides) under uncultured bacterium. RNAcentral's name for it is "partial 16S ribosomal RNA". It matches the Rfam family "Bacterial small subunit ribosomal RNA", at positions 29 to 507 of the family's 1533-position model. The record is from RNAcentral.
GUGAACGCUGGCGGUAGGCCUAACACAUGCAAGUCGAACGGCAGCACAGUAAUAGCUUGCUCUUCCGGGUGGCGAGUGGCGGACGGGUGAGGAAUACAUCGGAAUCUACUUUUUCGUGGGGGAUAACGUAGGGAAACUUACGCUAAUACCGCAUACGACCUACGGGUGAAAGCAGGGGAUCUUCGGACCUUGCGCGAUUGAAUGAGCCGAUGUCGGAUUAGCUAGUUGGCGGGGUAAAGGCCCACCAAGGCGACGAUCCGUAGCUGGUCUGAGAGGAUGAUCAGCCACACUGGAACUGAGACACGGUCCAGACUCCUACGGGAGGCAGCAGUGGGGAAUAUUGGACAAUGGGCGCAAGCCUGAUCCAGCAAUACCGCGUGGGGGAAGAAGGACUUAGGGUUGUAAAGCCAUUUUGUUGGGAAAGAAAAGCAGCAGGUUAAUAACCCGCUGUUAUGACGGUACCCAAAGAGUAAGCACCGGCUAACUUCGUG